UCCUGGUGGCUCAGACAGUAAAGAAUCUGCCUUCAAUGCAGGAGACCUGGGUUCAAUUCCUAGGUCAGGAA
Molecule: transfer RNA, 71 nt
Filed under: Bos taurus (domestic cattle)
Lineage: Eukaryota; Metazoa; Chordata; Mammalia; Artiodactyla; Bovidae
Also listed under: 2 other names
Rfam family: tRNA
About the family: Transfer RNA (tRNA) molecules are approximately 80 nucleotides in length. Their secondary structure includes four short double-helical elements and three loops (D, anti-codon, and T loops).
Source: Rfam by way of RNAcentral